CUGAGGAAGGAAGGAAGCAGGGUGAAGAGCCAGGAGGAGACCUGGAGGAGGCACAUGGAGCCGAGAGACACAACCCUUCUUUGAGCCUGGAUCCCAUCCCUCUCUCUGAUGAAGUAGACAUGAAAGCCAGUGGCUUUCAGCCUGAGCCUCUAGAAUUUGCAAUAUAUGUAAAAAGAACCAGUCACUGGAAAUCCAAGGACACUGGGAUAUAAUCAGGAGCACCAAAUGAGAGUUCCAUGGAGAAGAACAGGAAGAUUCGUGGAUGAUAAUGUUGGCUCUGGAGUGAUUACUGUUGAACCCAAGUGAGCAAUGAAAUCUACAGAUCAUAUCUCAGGUUAUCAUUGGCUCUUUCUGGCGCCAAAGGAAAUGCGGAUGACCUGAGAGCUACUGGUGUGGUGAGAGAGCGAGAUGGUUCAAUUUUCCAUCAUUGAUGUGGGAAGCUCAGAUUCAUCUGAUUUGCUGGUGAAUUAUGUAAAAGCAAGCACAUCUCACCACACUCAUUAUUUGUUUCCUUCUGAGGUGAGUGCAGAUUAGUU
Talpa occidentalis (Iberian mole) is the source of this 536-nucleotide long non-coding RNA. RefSeq lists it as uncharacterized. The transcript has 4 exons. Lineage: Eukaryota; Metazoa; Chordata; Mammalia; Eulipotyphla; Talpidae. The record is from RefSeq and is a predicted model, not a curated record.